GACGAACGCUGGCGGCGUGCUUAACACAUGCAAGUCGAACGAGUUGCGAACGGGUGAGUAAUACGUGGUUAACCUGCCCUCCUUUUUGGGAUAAGCCUUGGAAACGGUGUCUAAUACCGCAUAAGGGGGUAUGGACUCGCGGCAUGUCAUCUUGUUGGUGGGGUGAUGGCUACCAAGGCGUGACGGGUAGCCGGCGUGAGAGGUGGAUCGGCCGGAUUGGGACUGAGACACGGCGCAGACUCCUACGGGAGGCAGCAGUGGGGAAUAGUGGGCAAUGGGCGCAAGCCUGACCCAGUAACGCCGCGUGAAGGAAGACGGUCUUCGGAUUGUAAACUUCUUUAGACAGGGACGCGGUACCUGUAGAAUAAGCCACGGCUAACUACGUGCCAGCAGCCGCGGUAAUUC
RNAcentral lists this ribosomal RNA (405 nucleotides) under uncultured bacterium. RNAcentral's name for it is "partial 16S ribosomal RNA". It matches the Rfam family "Bacterial small subunit ribosomal RNA", at positions 28 to 526 of the family's 1533-position model. The record is from RNAcentral.